This 1097-nucleotide long non-coding RNA is filed under the name Sander lucioperca (pikeperch). RNAcentral describes it as "lncRNA (ENSSLUG00000007634.1)". The record is from RNAcentral. Lineage: Eukaryota; Metazoa; Chordata; Actinopteri; Perciformes; Percidae.
UGUGAACGUACUUUAUUUAGAUGUGUGAAGGUGUGAAAAAGUGGAGUUAAACCUAUCGUUAACUGAUAAAAAGCUGGAGGUAUGUUUAGAGUGUCAAUUCGUCAUGUGGUUUUUCUGCUUUAAAAGACCUUGUCUCAGCCUAUCUGUCCACUAUUCCCUGAUGUUUUUUAGCUAGCAUUUGUUAGCUAGCUUAUCAGUUCGUUUUUUCCUUCGAUCUUCUAAAACAGACCAACGGUGCAUUUUUGUUUUUAACUCCUUUGGGGGAAAGCAAGAGGAAAACAUCUUACAGCCAUGUCUACAAAGGAAAUCUCAGGUACCCUUCCCGCUCAAACCUUCAUGCUCGACCGUUGCUUGUGAUGAGGCAGCGUCUACGGGGGUAACCGAGGGCCCUAAUUAUGCUAUAGAGACGCUAAAUGCGGUAGCAGUGUUGCAGAGAGUGCAUCCUGUGGCAGAGGAGUCAUUCACACCUUCAUUGGAGGCGUUAGAUUUCCCAGAGAGGCACGGUGAUGAGCAGCGACAAGCCGGUGGAGUUUUACAACGGGGGGACGUGGCAGAUUUCCUGGAUGAAGGUAGCCCUUGAAGGUGAAAGCAAAGAAUCAUCAGAGACAGACCACACAUCGAUUUCCCCUAAUCAGGAACCCUUCCAGUGUCGUGGGGAUGAAGGUGAUAUAGAAUGUGCAUGUAUGCGUUUUAUUCCAGACACACCCAUCAGCCAGAGACCAGGAGUUUCCUAUAAUCACACAGUCUAUGGAGCAGACAAAGUGUGCCCCAGGGCUCAUGCAUCAGCUGACGCCUCUGUAAAUACAGAGGAUAUUGAUGAGGCAUUUGAAUGUGGACAAAUAUUGGAUUGUUUUAGUACCAACAUCAGUUUUGAAACAGCUGGCCCCAUAAACCGUCCUGAGCAGACAACAUUAUUACAGGGUGAGUCACUCUUCGAAUUCUGUGCUGAAACUACACGUCGACACACUGCGUCAGAUGCGAUACAUGACCAAAUAGAAUCCAAAGUUGAUAAUUUACAAAAAAACAUCAAUAGUCUGGUGAAUACAGUGGGCGCCUUGCAGACCACUACUACAAAGUUGUUUGGCCUAGUUACAUAG